GCAAGUCGAGGGGUAACAGUGAGUGCUUGCACUCAGCUGACGACCGGCGCACGGGUGCGUAACGCGUAUACAAUCUACCUUUUGCUGAGGGAUAGCCCAGAGAAAUUUGGAUUAAUACCUCAUGGUAUUAUUGAUAGGCAUCUAUUAAUAAUUAAAGGUUACGGCAAAAGAUGAGUAUGCGUCCCAUUAGCUAGUUGGUGAAGUAACGGUUCACCAAGGCAACGAUGGGUAGGGGUCCUGAGAGGGAGAUC
This 251-nucleotide ribosomal RNA is filed under the name uncultured bacterium. RNAcentral describes it as "partial 16S ribosomal RNA". It matches the Rfam family "Bacterial small subunit ribosomal RNA", at positions 57 to 305 of the family's 1533-position model. The record is from RNAcentral.